UUCCCAAAAAAUCUUAAAGCAAAAACACGUGGAAACCUUCUUUGCCUCAACUUUCAAAGACUCAAACCCUUUUCUCUCCUCAAAAACCUUUCUCUAUUUACGAUUCCUCUUUCUCUCCUCGGAUCGAAAACUCUCUCUCCAAAUACUCCCCUUUUCAUCGCAAUUCUCCCUCAAAUCUCUCAAUCUUUCCAUGUGUUUCUCAGUCUCUCUCGAAAUACGUUUCUACACUAAAAAAAAAAUUCUCUUUCUCUCUUCGGAUCUCAUUCUCUCGCGAUCUGGUUCUUUGUCUUGAUGAUGGUGGUUGUUCGGUUGUCAUUGGUGAUGUUGUGUUGCGGGUUUGGUUGGUGAAGAUGGAAUCAGAAUGUAUGGUGAUGGCGAUGGAGGUUUGUAAGGAGGGUGAAGGCGGAAGUGGUGACGGAGGGAUGGUAGGUUUGGACGUACGGAUGGUAAGUUUGGACGGACGGUAGGUUGCGAUGGUUUCGGUUUAAAGGAGAAGAGUGAAUCUAUUUAGAUGGUUAGGUAGCGAGGAAGCUUGAAGGGUUUGGGCGGAAGGGGUGAUGAUGGUUGCAGGUAGGGCGGCGAGUUUGGUUGAUAUCGGCGGAGGCUACGGCAAGGUGGCGAGACGGAUAUGGAAUUGCGAACGGCGGUGGUAUGUUGGCCGGAAGGAUGAUGGUGGUGAGACAUAUGGAGGAAUAUGGUGGAUGAUGGGAAGGGGGAUUCGGCGGAGGCAACUUGAAGGUGAUGGUGAUGAUUGGGCUUGGUGAGGAUGAAGACGACGACAUCAUCAGGUUUACAGGCCCUGGACUUAACAAAAGCAGCAAUGAAACUACUUUUCUCUCACAGUCUCGACAUCAUAACAACAGAACAACAAAAACUUAAAAUAAUACCCUCUUCAUGAAAUUCUGUUUUUUAUGAGUUCAUAUUUUAAGUUUGAAAUUGUUGUUAUUAUAACUUGGAUAUUGUUGUGGUCUUUUUGCAGAGGCAGGAAUAAUGGUCAAGAAAAGCGAACAAGAAUUCAAAUAUUCAUGCCAUGAGAUUAAUAAAGGAGUGCAAAGAAUUUGAAGAAAUACCCGCUCUGAAUGUUCUCGGAGGUGAAGACCCGUUGAUUUUAAUACCAAAUUGAUGAAGAAAUAUAGCUGUUAGAAUUGUCUUAAAGUGUAGAAAAAAAGUCAAGCUAGCAUAGCACAACAUGCUGUUUGGAGAGGACAGAUUGUAAACACAAAAAUGUGGAAGAAGACAAACACAGAGACAAGAAGAUGUUUGGACUUGAAACCAAAAAGAAAAAAAACUCUAGGAUUUUUGACCUACCUGCCACUAGGGGUGAUCAAAACCAAACCAACCCAAUAGAAAACCGCAAACCAAACCAAACCAAACCGAAACCGCAAAAAACCGCAUUUGGUUCGGAUUAGUUUGGGUCAGUUUUUACAAAACCGCACGGUUCGGUUCAGUUUGCGGUUUGUAUUUUGUAAACCGAACCAAACCGAAUCAAACCGCACUAUGUUACAACCUAAAUUUUACUAAAUCACAUCCAACAUAAACUUAAACUUAUUAUACAUUAGCAUUAUGAUUACGAACAAUUUUCUCAUCCUUACACAUAUAAUUUCAGUCCCGAUCUUCUAAAAUCUCUAAUAACAUUAUCGCACCUUCUUUGCCACAUA
This is a long non-coding RNA of Vicia villosa (hairy vetch), 1658 nucleotides long. RefSeq lists it as uncharacterized. NCBI's taxonomy places the organism in Eukaryota, Viridiplantae, Streptophyta, Magnoliopsida, Fabales, Fabaceae. The record is from RefSeq and is a predicted model, not a curated record. The transcript has 3 exons.